Long non-coding RNA from Bombus pascuorum, 172 nucleotides. RefSeq lists it as uncharacterized. The record is from RefSeq and is a predicted model, not a curated record. NCBI's taxonomy places the organism in Eukaryota, Metazoa, Arthropoda, Insecta, Hymenoptera, Apidae. The transcript is spliced from 2 exons.
UAUUGCCAUCCUUUCAUGGCAUUAGUAUACUUAUGUAAUAGACCCUCGAUCAGGAUCUGGGAUUUCAUACAUUGUAUAACCCCGACCAAGUGCAACACGUCUCUUACCAUCUGGGGUAAUAGCUAAUUGUCCUCUAAAAUAUUUUCAAUAAAUAUUAAUUCAUAUAACAAUA